ACAACAGGCACAUGAAGAGAUGCUCAGCAUCAUGGACCAUCAGGGAAAUGCAAUUCAAAACCGCAAUGAGGUGUCACCUCACACCUGUCGGAAUGACUGUCUUCAAAGAGACAACAAACAGCAGCUUGGUGAGGAUGCAGAGAAAAGGGUCACACCCUGGAGCAUUGUUAGUGGGGGUAUGAAUUGGUGUGGGCACUGGAAAACAGUACGGAGGUGACAAAAAAGAAUUACCAUACAUUUCGGCAAUCCCACUCCUGGAUAUUUACCUGAAUUCAAAUUCACUAAUUUUGAAAUACAUAUUUCAAAAGAUAUAUGCACCCUUCCACUCACUGCAGCAUCAUUCACAGUAGUCAAGAUAUGGAAGCAACCUAAGUGUCCAUCAACAGAUGAAUGGAUAAAGAAGUGUAGGGAUAGGCAAUGGAAUGCUACAAAGCCAUAAAAACGACUUCCAUAGUGGUCCAGUUGUUUAGACUCUGUACUCCCAAUGCAGGAGGCCCAGGUUCCAUCCCUUAUCAGGGAAUUAGGUCCCAGGUGCUGCAACUAACUAAAUAAAUACUUUUUAAAGAGAACAAAAUGUUGCCAUUUCCAACAGCAGGCUGGACCUGGAGGGUAUUAUCCAAAGUGAAACCAGUCAGAGAAAAACCAGUAGUGUAGGAUAUCACACAUGUGGAAUCUAGAAAAACAAAAACAAAAAAACCCAAAGGAGCAAACAUGAAACAGAAAUAGAGUUGUAGACACAGGGAACCAAGAGGUGGUUAGCAGAGGUGACAGACCCUCAUGGAAGCUGUGGAAGGGUACAAACUGCCAGUCACACUGGUGUGCAGCAUGCUCAGUAUAAUGGACGCAGGGUCAAGUCAGAGCAAGGUCUGGGGCUGCAUGGUGCUCAGUGGUAGGGAACCCACCUGCCAGUGCCGGAGACCCGGGUUCAAGCCCUGGCCGGGAAGACCCCACACGCAGCGGAGCAACGAAGCCCGUGCACGGACUGCUGAGCCCCAGAGCCCACGCUCUGCAGCAAGAGGAGCCCCUGCGGUGAGGGCCUGAGCUCGACAACUAGCGCGUCGCCCCACUCUCCCCAGCCAGAGAAAAGUCUGCACAGCAACGACGACCCAGCACAGCCAAAAAUAAAUCUUAAACAGAGUGAAGUCUCGAGUGCCCAUCACGAGGCUCUGUCAGUCCCGGGCUCCCACCCCCAGCAGCAGAUGGCGAGUGUAUCCAACAUCAAGGCAUGGAGGCCCAGCAGAACCUGAACAGGCUGGAAGGGUGGCGGGGGCAGGCGCGGCCCUCUCCUGGCCCCACAGGUGCUGGCACCCCCCAGGAGAGCAGAGGCCAGGAGAGGGUCUGCUCCCGCCCAGGACGUGGCUGCUUGUCUGAUGCGGGCCGGGGGAGCGGACGUCUGUCCUGACGAAGGACGAAGCCAUAAAUGCCGCAGAGACGAACGGACACAGAGAGCCCCUGGCUUCCCACACCCAGCAGCACGUCCGCGCCUCAGGCACGCACUCCGUGAGGGCAGGGACCAUGUGGCCCUGUGCUCCCUGCCGUCCCCAGCCCUCACUGCUGGGGCCCGACUGGCAGAUGGGGGGCUAUCUCUUCCUUCCCGGGUGGACAUGCCCACCUGAGCCCAGAGCCUGUCUGACAGGGGUCCUUUCCAGCAUCCCUUCUCUCUGUGCCUUUGGUUCCUCUUUCCUUAGGAAACAAAAACUCAAGUCUCUCCUAUUAAAAUGAAACAGAGCAAAACAAAGCAAAAACACGACCACGUUUCCCAAAACCCCUCCCUUUCUAGCUGUGUGUCUGUUUUUCACCCUUUUUUCUCCACCUAGUUCUCAAAACUUACAUGCCUGGUUCCAGCUCACCAGGACAGCAAUGAUUUCCUAAUUGCAAAAUUCUAGGAAAACUUCUCAGCGCAGAUGAUGGGAGGUGAUCGGACAGGUGAGCGUGUCCCGGCGUACCCACGAGGACGCCGGUGCUGGAAGAACUUAAUUUGCCCCGUUCCCAGGCUAGGGUUCGGAGUUGGAUUUCUGUGACUUCAAAACCCAAGCUGGUCCACUCGUCCUUCUGCCUCUCCCAGAUCAGGUCUGAACUGCUCUGAGCCGGGCCUGGCGUGUGGGGCACGUCUGUGGGCAGACCUUGGGGUGGGAAACCCAGCCAGCAGGGGUGGGAGGAGCGGGACCAUGACCCAGUUUGGGCCUGGCCUGGGGCUUCAGCCUCAGCAUCUGCUGAGUCAUCCCGCAGCCGGACUGAGUGGCUGGCUGGGCCUCCUCCCCACCCGCCUGACCCGCUUCUUCAGGUCAGGGCAGACAGAAUGGCAUCCCUGGGGGCCCCGGGCCCUGGGGCGUCCACCUCUCCUCUUCAGGAGAGCCCUGUGGAUACCCCCUCCCCCGUGGGCCUCUGUCCACCCAGCUCCUGCAGAGAACUACACACUUUCCUCUGAUACAGUCUCAUUGCACCAAAGGAACAGGCGCUCACUAGCUCAAAAUAAACACACGUUUCUCCUUCA
Odocoileus virginianus texanus is the source of this 2494-nucleotide non-coding RNA. NCBI's taxonomy places the organism in Eukaryota, Metazoa, Chordata, Mammalia, Artiodactyla, Cervidae. The record is from RefSeq and is a predicted model, not a curated record.